This is a long non-coding RNA of Prionailurus viverrinus (fishing cat), 2595 nucleotides long. RefSeq lists it as uncharacterized. The record is from RefSeq and is a predicted model, not a curated record. The transcript is spliced from 6 exons. NCBI's taxonomy places the organism in Eukaryota, Metazoa, Chordata, Mammalia, Carnivora, Felidae.
AGUCUUGGUGUAAUAAGUUAGGUAAUGAGUGUCUGUGCUGUGCUGGUGCUGGCAGGUGGCUCUGUAUUUAUGCUGAGGGGCUGAGGAGGGAAAUGGCACCUGCCAGUUUCUUUGUUCCCAGAGGGUUAUCUCUAUGAAUGCUGUCUCUUUCAGACAUGCUCUGAGAUGAAUAACCACCACACUGUGUCCCAGGUACUCUUUAGAUGGCUGUUUCAAUGCUGUAUGUUCCCAGCUGUUUGUCUGCCUUUUGUCCAAGAGCAGCCCCAAUGCCCCUGAGCUCUCCCAGAACCAAGCAUGCUGACUUUAAAACUCCAGGUUUUAAACCCUACUGUUUGUUGCAAGAACUAAUGAAAUUCAACCCCUCUCACUUUCCAAGCUAAUUGCUGUGGGAGGUUCAUUUUCCCUGUGAGUUUCUUCUUCUGUUUCUUGCUCUUCUCCAUGAGCACAGCUCCAUCCCCACUAAAGAGGCCAUGAUGUGUUUCUCUCUCCAACAGUAUCUUCACACUUCCUACCUUCUUCAAUGUGGCCUCUUCUCUACCGUUAGUUGUGGAGUUUGUUCUGCCAAGUCUUCAGGCAAAUUUCUGGGUAUUUAGGAUGAUUUAAUAGUUACAUAGCUGUAUUCAUGGGACGAGGUGAGCCUAUGGUCCUCCUACUCUGCUGCCAUCUUCUUCAAUCCCAUGAUUACUUCUUAGAUGAUAUUGGUAUUUCGUAUUGCAUUAUGUAAGGAGGCCUAGCUGGGAGUUCCAGGAUGCCCCAAGUGACUUACAAAUUGUGUACAUAUAACUAGAAAUAUCACUCUCCCCCACUCCUUCUCUGGUCCUGUCAUCCUGCAUCCCACAUACUGUGAUGGAAAAGAUUUCCAAGGGAAAAAAAUAGAAUGAAAAACUUUCAGAUCUGAAAGGUAAUUUUGACAUCAUUGUUAUAAAAGCUGAGGAAACUGAAGCUCAAGACUUGGUCAAGGUCACUGAGGUGAGUUUGAAGCCACAAAAAUGACCUUCAACAAACAUAUUCUUACCCCUGGCCAGACUCAUCCAUCAGAGUUGAAAAUAUCUGGUGGCAACUGAGGUCAGUUGGUACCACUAACCCGACUAAUAACCAUAUGACACCUUUUAUUGAGUACUUACCAGCGUUAGGUACUGUGUUUAGUCUUAAAAAAUUACUUUUCAUAAUUCUCACCACCACCCAUGAAGCACAUUUUGAACAGAACAUCUAAUCAUUUCUUUCGGUAGUAAGAAAUCAUCCACGGGUUCAGUAAUUCGACAUUGUGAAAGCAGGUGCCUCUGUGAUGAUCUUAGUGAUAAUCUUUCCAUCUCGGUCAUAGGAUCACUGCUGCAGCUUCAGAUAUCACAUCCAUGAAGAGAGCUGAACGAACUGGCAUGCGGCAGUGCUACCAACUUCAGUCUCAUUCAUGAGACAAGUUCGAUCUUUCCCAGAAGCCCCAGAAUAGACUUCUGUGGUAUCUUUCAUUGUCCCAAACUGUAUUACAUGAUCACCUAUAUGAAUAUGAUGGGAAACUGAAUAUGAUGUACAGCCCUUCCAGCUUAUGUAGAACAGACAGGCAAGGGAAUGGGGGUUAGAUAAACCACACAGCAGUGGAGGUGUUUCUAUCCUCAUGGUUCAGAGAAGGAAACUGAUUCUCAGAAUGGCCAAGUACCUCAUUCAAGGUUACCCAGUGACCAACUGGCAGAAAUGUUUUGACUCCAAAGCACAUGGUGAGUAAGGCAUGCUCACCGAAGAAUGGUGAUGAAGACUGAUGUGGCCAGAGUCUGAGGUGAUUUGAACACUUGAAGAAGAGGUAGGGUCUGUGUAUCCUCAAAGAACAGAGGAGACACUGCUCUCAGACAGUGAUGCUGCUACUUGGCUAAUGAACUGAAGAAGGCCAUUCAGGAGAAGAGUUGCCUGCUGGUGUUUGAGAUAGAGGCAGAGCACAAGUGGAGGAGUGGCAGAGAGAGAGGACUCCAGUGUGGGGAGGAACUGCAGUCCGGGACAGGAGUUCGGAGGUCACAGGAGGGUGGCUGAAAGACACCAGCAGCAGCAUCUGUGUUUAUAAACUGUGUUUCCAAUGGUGUUCGUGUGGCUCCAAGCGUUUCCUGUGGAAUUCCCUGGGAGGCUGGCAGACUCUCCAUCUUUAGAGGGAAGGUGGGACACGGGAGAAGAGAAAUAGCCCUUCGGGACUGAAGGCUCAUGGCAGAUGGUGCAGUCAGAGACAGAGAAUUCUGUGAAGAAGCUGGAGUUACAGGAAGACUGUUUCUACACUAGUCGGAGAGGAAAGGAUUCAGAGAGGCUUCCCACCUGGGCUGCACUCUGAUCCCUGGCACAUCGUCUUGUCUCCAGAGAACUGAAGUCACUGCAUUCUUUAAUGCCAUCAUCUCUUCCCUCAUUGAGAGUCUCAGCACGAUUUGAGAAGGGACUCUAGAUUCAGCAAAGGAAGAAAAGGCUGUCCCAGCUCCACAAGCCUGCACCAACCCUGCCCAUCACUCCUGAGGACAGAGGCAUUCAAUGAUGACCUGAAUUCCCUGUCACAGGCCAUGGGGCUGCAUCGGGCUGUGUAUCUGUGCAUCAGGGCCACUCACCCUGGAGGAUAAUGAGAAGCAC